RNAcentral lists this transfer RNA (62 nucleotides) under Bolitobius castaneus. Its description in RNAcentral is "tRNA-Cys". Lineage: Eukaryota; Metazoa; Arthropoda; Insecta; Coleoptera; Staphylinidae. The record is from RNAcentral.
GGUCUUAUAUUCAAAAAUGAUUUUAAAUUGCAAAUUUAAAGGAGAAGUAACUUCUAAGGCUU